Molecule: long non-coding RNA, 968 nt
Organism: Chenopodium quinoa (quinoa)
Lineage: Eukaryota; Viridiplantae; Streptophyta; Magnoliopsida; Caryophyllales; Amaranthaceae
Exons: 3
Source: RefSeq, a predicted model, not a curated record
UCUCUCUCUACGUUCUAACUCUCUCUCUUCUUCUUACUUUCUCUCUCCUCGUGCAAAUUCUCUCUUCUCACAAUUUCUCUGAUCUCUUCGCAUGUCUUUAACUUUGCAAAUCUGCAUCUUCUUAUCUUCACCCUUUGUUCAAUCAAAUUUGUGGCCAAGGUUUUUGUUUGGUAGAAGCGGCAAAGGAUAUUGCAAGUUUUAUUUGUUGUUUGGGCGUUGUCUGUAUGAUGAGCUAUUUGUGGCCAGGAGCAGGGGUAGAGCGUUGUGCAAAUGCACAAAGAUGUGGGUUUGAAUCCCACGUAGGUUCAUUUGUGUAAUGUGGCUACUAAACUCAAUCUAUACAAAGCUGGAGGUGGUGGCAUUUUAUGGUGUGAUAAGGGUUCUUGCAAUUAAAAACAGAUGCAGAGGCUUUAGGGAAAAUGCUGAGCUAUCCUAACUCCUUUAGAGACCACGAUCUAGAACAUUAUAAGGGAUGUGUGGUUGAGUAGCAGAACAAUUAACUUCGUUACUCACAAGCUAGCAGCUAUUGUAAGGACUAAAGUUCAACUUGAUGAAAGGGUGCUAUUCCACUAUCCCCUGUUGAGAUCUUUGACAAGUAUGUUGCUAAAAUACCAGCAAUCCCUAUGGCUUAAUCCUGAUGAUGACGGCUGCUCAACACCUUUUGCUCAUCUUGUCUUUCUCUGUAGGUCUUUGCUGGCAUUAUGUUGGCUUUAAUUUUUUGUUGCUUGGUUUAUUUUUAUGUCUUCCCUAAGUAGGAGGAUACUGGUACUUUUAAUCUCUUUGAACAAUAUUUUGUAUAGGUUGGUUGUUGUCACCUUGAUGUAAUAUACUAAUAUAUAAUCUAUUUUCCUUUAGCAUAAAAAAAAAAAAAAAAAAAAAAAAAGGUUUCUAUGUUUGAAAAUCUGAUUCUAAAUUUUCAGUUACUUUUGUUAUCGUUUUAUUUACUUUAAAUAUGAAAACCUUUACUA